This 1299-nucleotide ribosomal RNA is filed under the name Triticum aestivum (bread wheat). Its description in RNAcentral is "partial small subunit ribosomal RNA". Lineage: Eukaryota; Viridiplantae; Streptophyta; Magnoliopsida; Poales; Poaceae. The record is from RNAcentral.
AUGAUGCCUUCCUCCUCCUCCUCCCGCCGCCGUCGUCGCCGCCGCGGCAACCGCAACAGGCCUCCUCCUCCUCCAGCGCCGAUAACGGGGGCGGGGGACGUCACGCGUGACGAGGCGGAGCUUCCGCCGUCGGCCGUUGCCCACAGGCUGGAAUGCAUCCCAUUCUCACGCGCCGCCCCACCAAAACCUAACCCUCCAGAGCCUCAACCCCAACCCCAUGGCGCGACGCACCACUCCUCCUCCACCUCCUCCUCUCGCCGCCGUCGCGGACGACGCGGACGCAAGGGGACAGUACCAGCGCCAGCGCCUGCGGCGGAGGAGGCGAGGGACUGGGCGGGGCUCCUGCUGGACGUGCUCUGCGCCAUCCUCCACAAGCUCGACCACGUCGAGAUCCUGACCGGCGCGGGGCAGGUGUGCCGCUCCUGGCGCCGCGCCGCGCGCGACGUGCCCGCGCUCUGGCGCCGCAUCGACAUGCGCGGCCACGCGGACAUCCCCGAGCUCUACCUCUGCGGGAUGUCUCAGGUCGCCGUCCGCCGCAGCGCCGGGCAGUGCGAGGCGUUCUGGGGCGAGUACGCCGCCCAUGACGAUCUGAUCCUCUUCCUCGGCGACCAGGCACCAUCUCUGAAGAGUCUUCGCCUCAUCUCUUGCCACCGUGUCUUGAUUGAAGAAUUGGUGGAGGCAAUGAACAAGUUCCCUCUACUAGAGGAGCUCGAGCUCUCACUGUGUUCAAAUAUAGGUGGGAAUCAUAUGUUUCAGGUCAGCAAAGCAUGCCCGCAGCUAAGGCACUUCAGAAAGAGUGAGCUUCGGUUCUACAAUCUCCAAGACGACAGUGAUGGCGAAGACGCUGAUAGCGAGUUCAGGUACAACAAGAACGAUGGCGCCAAAGGAAUCGCAACCAUGCUCCAGCUACGCUCCCUGCAGCUCUUUGCCAACAACCUCACCAACGAAGGGCUGACAGCGAUCCUCGACAACUGCGUGCACCUCGAGUCCCUCGACAUCCGCCACUGCUUCAACAUCGUCAUGGACGAUGCCCUGCGGGCGAAGUGCUCCAGGAUCAAGACGCUGAGGCUUCCCCACGACUCGACAGAUGACUACGACAUUGAGGCUUUGAGCCCUAUCUGGCCAGGUCUUGGUAUCGGCGUUGGCUCCGACAGUGAUGAUGACUGCUGGUAUGGUGGGCCUGACUACAUUCUGGACUCGGAUGAGUACGACGAUUACUGCGAUCCUGAGCGCUACCUUGAUGGUGUCUACAUCGGCAGGCGUGUUACUCUAAUGGAUCUGCUCGAUUCGGGGUACUGA